GACGAACCGUGCAACCGUUGUUCGGAAUCACUGGGCUUAAAGGGCGCGUAGGCGGGCAGGCAAGUCCGGGGUGAAAUCUUUCGGCUUAACCGGAAAAGUGCCUUGGAUACUGCUUGUCUGGAGGGAGGUAGGGGCAUGUGGAACUUCUGGUGGAGCGGUGAAAUGCGUUGAUAUCAGAAGGAACGCCGGUGGCGAAAGCGACGUGCUGGACCUCUUCUGACGCUGAUGCGCGAAAGCUAGGGGAGCAAACGGG
Molecule: ribosomal RNA, 253 nt
Filed under: uncultured bacterium
Lineage: Bacteria
Description: partial 16S ribosomal RNA
Rfam family: Bacterial small subunit ribosomal RNA
Source: RNAcentral